UUUUCUGCAAUCUGGGUACCUCUUUCUCGGAUCUAGUUUAUCUGCUGUUCUUCCUUGUACUAUCCUUGUUCUAUCUUUUUAAAAUUAUAUAAUUUUAAUGAUUUUUAAAGUUAAAUAUUAUUAUUAAAUAUUGUUUUUUUUCAUUACAGGCACAGUAAAAAAAUCAAAUUCCUGCUGGUUGCGUCACGUUAGCGUGGUCCCACGCGCUUGGAGAGUGGGGGAGCAUUAUAGUUGUUUUUUUGUUUAUGGCUUACGGAGUAAAGCGCAUGUCGUUUAUAAGGCAAGAAGUCAAGAACGACAGGUGAAUUGAUUCUCUGUUGUCUAUUGCUUUGGCGUUUUGUCUCUCCAGCUUUUUUAACUUUUCCAUUAGAAUCCCAAUACGUGUUUCUAUCAUUCUAUGUUUAUCAUAAAACUAGAGUAAUUCCUGUGUCCAAUAUGGGAGAUUGUCACUAUAACAGAUUUACGAAGAUGAAAAUCUGAAAUUUAAAAAACAAGAUUAUCAAUUAACAACCAUGUUAUUCUUAAUCAUAAUAACUACGAAUCUCGUAAAUCUUGUUUGAUGAUUGAUAUCAAAUUUUGCAACUGUUCUGUAACGUCGUCUCUGUUAAUGUUGAAAAACUUUAUCCAGUCUUUCAUUGCUAUACCAAAAAGUUGGUCUAUUUGUUAAUCAAAAGUUUCAAUGGAAAUUGGUAUCAAUCCGUUGGUGCAAGAGUCAUGGUUGAAAGAAUUAGAAAACAAGAAACAUAUAUUAUUGUCUAUACAUAACUCUAUUAGAUGUUUUGCGGAGGAAGUAUAUAACUAUUGUUUUUGGGCAUUGAACUUUAAUUUCCCUCGUGUUACAAUGGUAGAUGUAAUCCAUUUCUGUUUUUGUAAAGUUACCAAAGCAAGUUCAGAGUACUCCAUUUCUGAUUUUGUAGAGUGGAAAAAAUGUUCAUGUGAUUGAACAUUAAAGAAUGUAACAACAGGAUCUCUUCAGUCCAGCAACCAUGCCCAGAAGAAUGUCGGCAAGAUUGAAC
This 1016-nucleotide long non-coding RNA is filed under the name Glycine max (soybean). RNAcentral describes it as "long non-coding RNA (GMAX_LNC002726)". The record is from RNAcentral. Lineage: Eukaryota; Viridiplantae; Streptophyta; Magnoliopsida; Fabales; Fabaceae.